AAAGGUAGCAUAAUCAUUAGGGAUUUAAUUGGGACCUGGUAUGAAGGGUUGGACAAAGGAGGAACUGUCUUUAUAAUACUAGUUGAAAUUUACCUUUAAGUGAAAAGGCUUAAAUGUUUCAGGGGGACGAUAAGACCCUAUAAAGCUUUAUAAAUAAUUUAAUUUUGAUCAAUUUAGACAUAAGGAUCAAAUUUAAUUAUUUUAUUUUAUUGGGGUGAUAUGAGCGUAAUUUAAAUUAACUGCUUAUAAGUUUAUACUGAUAUAAAAGAGUUGAAUUUAUAAAUGAUCCUUUGUAAAGAUUAAAAGAUUAAGUUACUUUAGGGAUAACAGCGUUAUUUCUUUUGAGAGUUCAUAUCGAAAAAGAAGAUUGCGACCUCGAUGUUGAAUUAAAAUAUCUAUAUAGUGCAGCAGCUAUAANAGAAAGUCUGUUCGACUUUUAAAUU
This 443-nucleotide ribosomal RNA is filed under the name Vellodius etisoides. RNAcentral's name for it is "partial 16S ribosomal RNA". It matches the Rfam family "Bacterial large subunit ribosomal RNA", at positions 1952 to 2594 of the family's 2925-position model. The record is from RNAcentral. Lineage: Eukaryota; Metazoa; Arthropoda; Malacostraca; Decapoda; Xanthidae.